RNAcentral lists this long non-coding RNA (1263 nucleotides) under Rhinolophus ferrumequinum (greater horseshoe bat). Its description in RNAcentral is "lncRNA (ENSRFEG00010003665.1)". The record is from RNAcentral. Lineage: Eukaryota; Metazoa; Chordata; Mammalia; Chiroptera; Rhinolophidae.
GGGAAGAUGAGUGAGGCAGAAAUACGUCAUCACCCUCCAGCCUGAAAGCUCUGUGUCACUCAUGACUGUUCCCUUUUUGGCCAACGUCAUUGGCCUUGGUGUCUCCUCUGCUGCCAUCUUUGUUCAUCUCUUUUUGGCCUAGUCCUCCAACUGGUCCCCUAAAGUCUAUUCUCCCUCUUCAACCAUGUUCCACACAGAUGGUGAAAUCCUUGAGGGGAAGCUUAUUUUGUUCACUUUAUCUUCUUUAAGAUCUCUCUGCAGAAAGAAGAAAGGUAUAAAUAAAAUGCUUUUUAUUUGUCUUUUAAACUCCAGUUUCCAGCAUGUGGAAGAUUCUCUAUAAGGAAUCAUUGAGCCCUGGCUGCUCCAUCCUGCAGAAUCAGUGAAUGAAGUAAUUUUGAAUUUACGUGAUUGUUGUAGAUUGUUUUCUCUGACCUUUGGAAUCACAGUUUAAACAUCUGGAAGCCACACUACUUGGAGCUGUGGAGUCUGGAGGAUGCCCCUAAAGAUCCACAGCCAUUCCUUAUUGGUUAAGCCCCAAUGCAAGUCUUAUACCGAGAGGGUUAUUUUACUGGGUUCCUGGUUACAUGGUUCUUGUAUUAUCCAAUCUGUUCAGCUAUUAAGGCCAGAUAUCUGUCUAAAAUGAACAGGCAGAUUUUUACUUUCUAAUGGUUCUAAGAUUCACUGAGAGCAACCUCCUUAGAGAAAAAGCAGUCAAAGGGAGUUCCAAUGGCAGUAUAUGAAUAAUACUUAACAGGCCCAAACCUGUAGCUGGUAAGAUAAAGUACAGAGAAAAUAUAGAAACUCUUUGGUUGGAAUGUUUUUAGCUGACAUAUUAAAUAUAGAAACUCUUUUGGUGGGACGUUUAUAACUAUAUCAGCAUAGGAAUGAGGAGUGAUUCGAACUAUUAAUUAUUAAGGAAUAUUACAAAGCAAAAAAACAGUAUUGUUCUGGUAUAAGGACAGACCAAUGGAACAGAUAUAGAGCUCAGAAAUAGAUCUGUGUGUAUAUGGGAAUUUGAUAUAUGAUAAAUGUGGUACCACAAAAAAAAAAAAUGAGAAAAGUGCCUUGUUUGUCAUUAGAAAAACUGGCUCAUUACUUGGAGAAAAAGCUGGACUUUUGCCUUAUACUGUAUGAAGAUGCACUAUACAUGGGUUAAAAAACCUAAGUGAGAAAGGUGAAAAUACAGAGACAGUAGAAGAAAAUGAAGAAUAUUUUUGUGAAAUUUAAUAAACCAUAAAAUCACAAAUAAUAAAUGAAAAAUUG